RNAcentral lists this transfer RNA (88 nucleotides) under Candidatus Pacebacteria bacterium CG10_big_fil_rev_8_21_14_0_10_44_54. RNAcentral's name for it is "tRNA-Ser". It matches the Rfam family "tRNA". From Rfam's summary of the family: Transfer RNA (tRNA) molecules are approximately 80 nucleotides in length. RNAcentral also lists the same sequence under 1 other name. Lineage: Bacteria; Bacillati; Minisyncoccota. The record is from RNAcentral.
GGAGAGGUGGCGGAGUGGUCAAUCGCAACGGUUUCGAAAACCGUGACUCUUUCGGGUCCCGUGGGUUCGAAUCCCACCCUCUCCGCCA